AGGGGAUGUAGCUCAGAUGG
This 20-nucleotide non-coding RNA is filed under the name Arabidopsis thaliana (thale cress). The record is from RNAcentral. Lineage: Eukaryota; Viridiplantae; Streptophyta; Magnoliopsida; Brassicales; Brassicaceae.